GCGGCCGCCGCGCCCCCGCCGGAGCUGCCGGAGUGGCUGCGGGACCUGCCUCGCGAGGUGUGCCUCUGCACCAGUACUGUGCCCGGCCUGGCCUACGGCAUCUGCGCGGCGCAGAGGAUCCAGCAAGGCACCUGGAUUGGACCUUUCCAAGGCGUGCUUUUGUCCCCAGAGAAGGUGCAGGCAGGCGCCGUGAGGAACACGCAGCACCUCUGGGAGAUAUAUGACCAGGAUGGGACACUACAGCACUUUAUUGAUGGUGGGGAACCUAGUAAGUCGAGCUGGAUGAGGUAUAUCCGAUGUGCAAGGCACUGCGGAGAACAGAAUCUAACAGUAGUUCAGUACAGUAAAUGUCCCUUCAACGGUAAUGGAAGCCAUGUGCAGACAAGACACCCUGCAGCCCUUCAACAAAAGCAGCAAACUCGCCCCUACCACCCAGCAGCGCUCCAUUGUUUUCCCCCAGACUCCAUGCAGCAGGAACUUCUCUCUUCUGGAUAAGUCUGGGCCCAUUGAAUCA
RNAcentral lists this small RNA (514 nucleotides) under Pongo abelii (Sumatran orangutan). RNAcentral's name for it is "processed transcript". Lineage: Eukaryota; Metazoa; Chordata; Mammalia; Primates; Hominidae. The record is from RNAcentral.